AAACCAGCACCUCAAGUGGUCAGGAUGAUUAUUGGGCCUAAAGCAUCCGUAGCCUGCUCUGUAAGUUUUCGGUUAAAUCUGUAUGCUCAACAUACAGGCCGCCGGGAAUACUGCAGAGCUAGGGAGUGGGAGAGGUAGACGGUACUCGGGAGGAAGUGGUAAAAUGCUUUGAUCUCUCGAUGACCACCUGUGGCGAAGGCGGUCUACCAGAACACGUCCGACGGUGAGGGAUGAAAGCUGGGGGAGCAAACCGGAUUAGAAACCCGAGUAGUCC
This 274-nucleotide ribosomal RNA is filed under the name uncultured bacterium. Its description in RNAcentral is "partial 16S ribosomal RNA". It matches the Rfam family "Archaeal small subunit ribosomal RNA", at positions 473 to 747 of the family's 1478-position model. The record is from RNAcentral.